UGACCAUGCAGCUGCUAACACUUUCCUAUGAUUUGCAUCUUCACAUUUCUAGGACCUUGCUGUCUAUUAGAUUUAUUUUCCUUCUUGCUCCAAGCUGUGAUGAUUGAUUCAUAAAGCACAGAGCUGUACUUCGCAAGGCAUUCUAAGAAGAAAAUCUGAACUGUUUGGGAGAAGAAUUACACACCUUUGUGACUUAGUUUAUGAAGGAAGACAAUAGGUCUGGUGACCUUAUGAAGGGAGAACCUUCUCCUGUGAGGAAAAGGACUACAUCAUUCAGAAUAUUUCUCAAGAAUGAUUUUCAGCUUGAGAGGAGGAAUGAGCAAACGUGCACAGUCACAGCAUCAAGUGCCAGGAAAGGCAAAUGCAGAGCAUGUCAAAGGACUUUCAGCCCAUGGAUCUCCCUGUGCUUCUCUUGGCUGCCAAAUUCCUUCCCCACCCCAUCUGUACAGGAGAUCACACAGGGUAAUUAUGCAGGAAAACGUGCGUUGUACCACCACUGGAGCCCAUACAGAAGUAAAACAGAAGACAAUGACUGUCACAAGGAUCAUAAAAUCUGAAUAUCAUACAUAAAGGAUUUGCCUGCAUGGCUUUGUACUGCUUUAAUUAUGUUAUAUACAGAGCUGUAGUGUGUGGACCAGCCAAAACACAUUAAAUAUAUAGUUUCUAUUAAGCUUUGCAGCAUAAACAAACCACAUAGCACAGCAAACUGUCUGCCAAAAAAUGUAAUGUGGCUGAUAAAGUCUUGAGGGACAUAUAAAAUGAUAGCUUUUGAAAAAAUUAUAUAUUUUUCUAAUGUCAAUGAUGAUGAGAUUGAAAGAAAAAAAAAAAGAAAAAAGGAUUGAUAAGCCAUAUAGACAUAUAGAUGCCUU
This is a long non-coding RNA of Anser brachyrhynchus (Pink-footed goose), 869 nucleotides long. The record is from Ensembl. NCBI's taxonomy places the organism in Eukaryota, Metazoa, Chordata, Aves, Anseriformes, Anatidae.